GUGUGAGGCCGGUAGUGGCGGCAGGCCCCGCCCCCCCCCCCCCGCCUGCGCCGCCGGGCCAGGGUCUUCCGGGAGUCGGAUUGCUUGGGAAUGCAGCCCAAAGCGGGUGGUAAACUCCACCUAAGGCUAAAUACCGGCACGAGACCGAUAGUCAACAAGUACCGUAAGGGAAAUUUGAAAAGAACUUUGAAGAGAGAGUUCAAGAGGGCGUGAAACCGUUAAGAGUGCUGGCAUGCCAUUCAUGGAACUCGGUCCUGUCUAAUCAAUCAACCUGGGAACAACUUACAAUCUUUUAUGGAUAGCAGGAUAUACCUAUCGAGAAGAUAGAAGACUUACUUUCAUCAUCUGAAUCAAAUCCAAAGAGUGUCUGACAUUUCUUUUGUGCAAGUCGCUCAAGUCUAAAAAUUUUAAGAUCAUGACAAAGGACAACGGGCUACUUCCUUACCUGAAAUCCUUCAACAAUUCCAGCACAUUGACAGACUGAAGUUCCAGCUUGCAGUGCAGCAUGCAAGUCAAGGUCUUAAGGAUUUCCAACCACCACCCCUACCCCUGCAACUUCCUGGAGUCUCUUUGAUUAGCCUCCUCCCUACAUUUCUCUACCCUAUUAAUGCUGAAGGACAGUUGUGAAAGAACAAGUAAUACAAGGAGGCAAAAAAUGCUCGGUAAACUACAAAGUCCUCUACAUGUUAGUAUUAGCCUGCUCUACCAUUCAAAACCCAGCUUAAAGCAUUUUCUUCUGUGAAGCCUUUCCAGAUAUGUCAUUUGUAAUGUCACAUUCUUCAGAACUCACACAGCAUUGUGUCUCUUUUCAAAGCACUGAGGCAUACUGAAGUAUAAAUGAUCUAUUCAAUCAGUAAAGAUGUUUUUAAUAGAGUAUAAAUAGUUAAGCACAUUUUAAAAUAUUUAUUUCAUCUUUGAAUUUUUCCUUUUACGGUCUUAAGACAACUAGACAUGUGAAUAUAAGAAAGCUUUAUGGUAACUAUAUGAACUUCACCUAUAUUGUAAACUUUUUAUAACAAAAAUCUUUCAACUUUUGGUACAAAUAAGAAUCCUAUGUAAAAAAUAUACAUGGGUACAUUUUAUUUUAUUUUUGUUUUUAAGUUUUACAGGUGAUUCUGAUGCACUUCAUAUGUUGAAAAGGAUUUCAUAGCAUAGUUUGGUGUUUUGGUGUUUUUUUUCCGUUUUUAAUUGGGGGUACAGGUUAACUUUGACAGUGCAUUUGAAUAAUAUUUUACUAUUUAAUAAUGAAACUAUGAAUACAGAUAGUAAAGUAAAUAGGAAAUUUACAAAACUCUCUGAAUGCAAUGUUGCUAACUUUAUAUCAUGAGGAUGUAAUUAUACUACAUGGUCAUACAUCUUAUGAGUGAUAAUGAAAGUGGUAACUGCAUAAAUACAUAAGAAAAAGUAAAAUAUAUUAUUUAAUGGAUGCCUCUUAUAUAUUUAAAAGUAACCUUCAUAAAGAUUCAGCUAAAUGGAGCUACCUAAAGUACAGGGUAGUUUUAUUUCCUUAUCUUUGUAUUCAAAGUUCAGUUAAUAUUUGAGGGGAAAAAGUUAAAGGAUCUGCAGGAUCCAAUUUCACGUCUAUGUAAGAGUCUUAGGUUGAAAUGUACCCACAUUUAAGUGACCCAUGAAAAACUUCCUUUAGAACUAUUUUUAAAAACAGGUACUGGAUUUCACUAUUACUUCAAAUAUAUACUUUAAAAGUUUGUCAGGUUUCAAAAAUGCCUCAAAAUUCAUUGUUCCUUUUCACCUGAACACCAGACUUAAAACUAUGAACCCCCAUAUUUUUCUGUGGAAGUGAGCAGGCAUUACCUAUGGAUAUACAAAGUCCAUUUGCAAAUAAGUUAAGAUUCUACAAACAGGAUUUAGGACAGUGUUAAAAGUGACAAACAUUUAAUUUUAAGGGAAGAGAUAAUAGCUUCUUAUGGAUGCAGUUGUUCCAUAUUAAAUUUUAAGUAACACCAAAUUGGCAGUUGUUCUCUUUUUUUCAGUUAUUUUCACUCAUGUAUACCCUUAGUACCAUGUUGAGAAUUUGAGAUUGGGGGAAGGGAAAGAUGUAAUACAUGGAGAAUGUGGCUUUAAAAUCCUCCUUCCCUUCAAAUAAAUUUUAUCAUAAAAGAUUCAAGUUUCAGUAAACUGUCAUUUAAACUUAUUUAAAAUUAAGGGAUAAAGAUAUACUAUUUACCUCAUCUUUAAUGAUUUUCAUGAAAGGAAAUAUGACUCUCACAUUAGUUGCUGUUCUUAAAAGCUGGUAGCAUUGAUCUACAAAAACUUGUUUUGAAGGAUUAGACUUAAGCUGAAGUUUACUCCAUAUGAAAAUCAACUCCCUGUAAAUGAGAAAAAUAAGAAAUAUCAAAAAUACAGUUUAUUCAAAUACAGAUAUUAGCUAUCUUUUGCUGAUUCUAUAGUACCCUGGCUGGGAUGUAUACAGAGUGGGCGUAAAUGGAUAUUAUGGUAACCUCCAAACUACUUCUGCUACCUGUAUGGGACUAAUAGAAGUCAGCAGAGGUAGGGGAGGUGGUGGUGGUAAAUCAGAAACUGUAAUCUUACAGUGGUAAGGGAUGAAUUCUAAUCAUUUGCUGAUAAUUCUAGGCACCUCUAGUAUGUGAAAACAAAAUCUAAUCCCUAUGUACCACUAUUAAUGAUACUACUUUAAAAAAAUAAACUUUGGUCCUGAAUACCUACUUGUAAAUUUAGA
Canis lupus familiaris (dog) is the source of this 2698-nucleotide long non-coding RNA. RefSeq lists it as uncharacterized. NCBI's taxonomy places the organism in Eukaryota, Metazoa, Chordata, Mammalia, Carnivora, Canidae. The transcript has 4 exons. The record is from RefSeq and is a predicted model, not a curated record.